AGUGAACGCUGGCGGUAGGCCUAACACAUGCAAGUCGAACGGCAGCACAGUAAGAGCUUGCUCUUACGGGUGGCGAGUGGCGGACGGGUGAGGAAUACAUCGGAAUCUACUUUUUCGUGGGGGAUGACGUAGGGAAACUUACGCUAAUACCGCAUACGACCUACGGGUGAAAGCAGGGGAUCUUCGGACCUUGCGCGAUUGAAUGAGCCGAUGUCGGAUUAGCUAGUUGGCGGGGUAAAGGCCCACCAAGGCGACGAUCCGUAGCUGGUCUGAGAGGAUGAUCAGCCACACUGGAACUGAGACACGGUCCAGACUCCUACGGGAGGCAGCAGUGGGGAAUAUUGGACAAUGGGCGCAAGCCUGAUCCAGCCAUACCGCGUGGGUGAAGAAGGCCUUCGGGUUGUAAAGCCCUUUUGUUGGGAAAGAAAAGCAGCAGGUUAAUACCCCGCUGUUCUGACGGUACCCAAAGAAUAAGCACCGGCGAACUUCGG
Molecule: ribosomal RNA, 491 nt
Filed under: uncultured bacterium
Lineage: Bacteria
Description: partial 16S ribosomal RNA
Rfam family: Bacterial small subunit ribosomal RNA
Source: RNAcentral